UUGCUAUGAGCUGUUUUAGCGGCGGACGGGUGAGUAACGCGUGAGGAACCUGCCUUUCAGAGGGGGACAACAGUUGGAAACGACUGCUAAUACCGCAUGACACAUAGGUGUCGCAUGGCAUUUAUAUCAAAGAUUUAUCGCUGAAAGAUGGCCUCGCGUCUGAUUAGCUGGUUGGUGAGGUAACGGCCCACCAAGGCGACGAUCAGUAGCCGGCCUGAGAGGGUGAACGGCCACAUUGGGACUGAGACACGGCCCAAACUCC
RNAcentral lists this ribosomal RNA (262 nucleotides) under uncultured Eubacteriales bacterium. RNAcentral describes it as "uncultured Clostridiales bacterium partial 16S ribosomal RNA". It matches the Rfam family "Bacterial small subunit ribosomal RNA", at positions 77 to 339 of the family's 1533-position model. The record is from RNAcentral. Lineage: Bacteria; Bacillati; Bacillota; Clostridia; Eubacteriales.